Molecule: long non-coding RNA, 2587 nt
Filed under: Fragaria vesca (wild strawberry)
Lineage: Eukaryota; Viridiplantae; Streptophyta; Magnoliopsida; Rosales; Rosaceae
Description: long non-coding RNA (FVES_LNC001238)
Source: RNAcentral
UUCCUUUUUCUUUCUUUUUUCCUUUUUUUUUUGUACGACAAAUCGACAAUAUGAUCUGCAAACCUAGACAUGAAUUAGUUUGAUAGCAGUAAUUUCAACUCAAAUUCAGUUUUUAAUUAAUGGAAUGUUUAAUAUUCUGUUUGCAUUUACAUAUCAGACAACUGUAUUGGGAUGGAUUAAGCUUAGGAUUGAAGAGUUGGUUUAUAACUUCGCAAUAGCUUUAUUUGUUAAUGUCCUGAUAUUGAUGCACAAACAUAUAAUUGGUCGAAGUUUCAACAUCUGUUGCUAUACAUGGUUAAUGUAAUUGUCAGAUUUGUACAUAGGCUUCUCUUUUUACCUUUUUUUAUACUCUGUUGUGGUUUCUAAUGGGAAGUUUGAGACCGCUUUUCUAAUUUUGGUUUGUCUUGCAUGUUGGUUAUGCAUGAGAUUGAUUGUGGCUAUUUUGUGAAGGUUUUGUGAUAGAUUCCAGAUUUUGGCUUUGAAAUUGUAUGCGUAGCUCCAAUUCUUAGACUAUAUUUCAUACUACUAUAUUAGAAAUAUUUGAAAGAGAAGAAUCAAAUUAGUGUUUGAGGAAUCAAUAAUAAGGAGCCAAAGGGUGCCGACCAAAAACUGGGUUAGAUAUUUACUUAUCUAUAUUUUACUUGCAUGUUAAUGAUUUGGUUUAUAUUGAAUGCUGCCAAUGUAUUAGUAUUUUGGUAUUGCGUAGUUAUUAAUUGUAUAGGAUUGCAGUUUACUACAAUGAAAACAAGGUGUGCCUGUCUAUUUGGUUAUUGUGUCUGUUUUAAGAUUUUAAUGUUUAUAGCAUUUUGAAAUAUAUUAUGUAUUUCAAUUUUAAUUUUUGAAAUUAGCUACGUUUUUUGGGUUAUUUCUUUUAAAUUUUGUUGAGCAUAUGAUUUUUGUUACAAUGGUGAUAGUUGCAGUCCUUUGAUUAUAAUUUAAGUUGAGUUGCUGCUAUCCUACCGUUACGGAAUCAGGGCCGUUGAGCUUUGUUACAAAUUAAUGAAAACAUCAGUAUCAAUUGUUUGAUUGGGGUUGAUAAUUUUUGUUCUGUUUUCAGUGUUGGUUCUUUCACUAUCUGCAAUCAAUCUCAUUCUCUCAAGUGCUUAUCGGUUCCUUUGGUUGGAUUAGCUGUUUAAGUUUUUUGGUUUGGUUUGCAUUUUGGUAAUCUUUUAGGUUUAAUCAAAUUGGGUGUCUGACUGUUUUGCAGACGUUUCUUUCUGUUUUUCCGGUGGUGAUCCCCAGUGUCAGGACAGGUAUUUACUUUAUCUUUUUUUUUACUUGCAAGUUAAUGGUUUGGUUUGUAUUGGAAAAGCUUUCAAUGUAUUAAUAUUUUUGGUUUUGGUGAGGUUUGUGGUGAGUACUUUUUAAUUUCGUAUUAUUUGAUGUGCCUAGCUGAAUGGUUAUGGGUGUGUCUGUUUUAGGAAUAUUGAUGUUUAGACAAGAUUUUAAUAUCUAUCACAUAUUUUAAUUUACACUUUGGAUGUCAUCUGGUCAUGCAUUUUGUUUUGGUGUUGUUUUAAUUACAUUUGGUAUCGCAAUUGACCAUACAAUGACAAAUUUUGCAUAAUGGUACAGGGAAAAAAGACAGAUAUUUUUUAUCUGUGUAUCAUACUUGAGUUUAAACAACAAACAAUGCAAAGGUAUAAUUGCAGUUGUCCACAUAAUAUAAAUUCUUCCAAAAUGGUGUAAAAAUGAGGAUGAAUGUUUGUUACGUAAUUUUAAAUAACAAACAAUGCAAAGGUUUACUGCAUCAAAAACUGAAGUUAAAUAGAUUGGCCAAUAAAGUAGAUGGAAUCUGACACCGGUCCAAUAUCUAAGACAUGUUUAUAAAUCGAUGUUACUGCAAGUGGAUUUUAGUUUGGAACUUUUUAUGUGUAUUACAAUAGUUUUUUUUUUGGGUUACCCAGCAGAACAAAGUAUUUGAUUGAGUGAGAGAUUGCGUAUGUUUGUUUUUAAAUUGACAGCUUCUAUAAUAUUCGCUUCUGGAUAUUCAGGGCCAAAAAAAAAUUAUAAUCAUGAUGAUAUUAAUAUAAUUUGGUACAUUGAAGUGUUAAAAAAAACCUGCUAUUGAUUUAGUGCAUUGGUUUGAUUUGGUGUGGGGAUACAAAUUCAUCUUGCAGCCUACUAGAUUUCAGGCAUUUGAGUUGUUUUGGUAGUUACAAUGGCAUCGCUUAAAAUAUAAUUUGGUAAAAGAAUGCAUGUUUUAACAUGGUGCUGUUAAUGUUAGUUCAGAUUGUUAUUCAGACAAGUGGUGAUGUGUGCUAUUAUUGGGCUCAUUGAUUUGAGAUUGUUUGAUGAUAUUGCCAUUUCAAUUCAGAUUGCGUUGAAUCUAGCUAUAAGUUCUUUGUUUAUUCUUUUUUUAAAUACUUUUUGGACAGUUGUUAAUCCAAUUUUUACUGUUCUGUAUUGUUGCCAUUGAUUUUUAUGAACUGUUAUUAUUUUAUUGAUGCAUUGUUAUUCAUGUGAAUAUUUGUUGGCACUACAGGUUAAGAGAAAACUUAAGGCUUUAUUACAAAAGUAAGGAUAAUUAUUUUGAUGGUUUGCUGUUAUGUCAUCAGACAUGUUUGUUGUACUUUACAUUUUGUGC